CCCGCGUCUGAUUAGCCAGUUGGCAGGGUAACGGCCUACCAAAGCGACGAUCAGUAGCCGGCCUGAGAGGGUGAACGGCCACAUUGGGACUGAGACACGGCCCAAACUCCUACGGGAGGCAGCAUG
Molecule: ribosomal RNA, 126 nt
Filed under: uncultured bacterium
Lineage: Bacteria
Description: partial 16S ribosomal RNA
Rfam family: Bacterial small subunit ribosomal RNA
Source: RNAcentral